This 449-nucleotide ribosomal RNA is filed under the name uncultured bacterium. RNAcentral describes it as "partial 16S ribosomal RNA". It matches the Rfam family "Bacterial small subunit ribosomal RNA", at positions 39 to 523 of the family's 1533-position model. The record is from RNAcentral.
GCGGCAGGCCUAACACAUGCAAGUCGAACGCGAAAGGGACUUCGGUCCUUAGUAGAGUGGCGCAAGGGUGAGUAACGCGUGGGAACGUACCCUGGAGUGGGGAAUAACCAUUGGAAACGAUGGUUAAUACCGCAUAAUGUCUUCGGACCAAAGAUUUAUCGCUCUUGGAUCGGCCCGCGUUAGAUUAGUUUGUUGGUGGGGUAAUGGCCUACCAAGACUACGAUCUAUAGCUGGUUUGAGAGGACGACCAGCCACACUGGGACUGAGACACGGCCCAGACUCCGACGGGAGGCAGCAGUGGGGAAUAUUGGACAAUGGGCGCAAGCCUGAUCCAGCCAUGCCGCGUGAGUGAUGAAGGCCUUAGGGUUGUAAAGCUCUUUCAACGGUGAAGAUGAUGACGGUAACCGUAGAAGAAGCCCCGGCUAACUUCGUGCCAGCAGCCGCGGUAA